Molecule: unclassified non-coding RNA, 685 nt
Filed under: Melitaea cinxia (Glanville fritillary)
Lineage: Eukaryota; Metazoa; Arthropoda; Insecta; Lepidoptera; Nymphalidae
Description: misc RNA ENSMCXG00005001741.1
Source: RNAcentral
UUUGUCACAUUUUGAGGCAUAAAUUUUACUUGAUAAAAAAAAAAUAUAUACAAGAGCAUAACGUAAAACAAUAAUUGUAUAUCGAAGGAGCUUGUUUUCACUUUCAGCUGAACACGAUGUUAUCAACACAGUUGUGCAAGGACCUCGCUCGGCGCGGGCCGCGGCGCGCAUGCGCGACGCGCCGUCUCCCCGACUUACCGACCCAGCACUCACUCGCUUGUCCGCCCAACGCCGAACGUAUCUUGAACAAAAGGAAACAUUAACAAAACACAAAAUUAUCACUAAUUUUUAACUUAUUUGUUCAUUGUGUAUAAGUGAUGUGUUAAAUAAUAAAUAGUGCACGGUCGUGACGUCAUCGAAGAUGCAGCCGACCCUGCCGCCGGGGUGGUCGGAGCUGGAGCGCUUCCGGCGGCGGCGCGGCCGCGUGACGCUCGCCGAGCUCAGCGAGAUCACGGCGCGCGCGCACCAGAUGCACAUGCAGGAGUUACGUCGUCUCCGUGAGCUGCACGCGCGGCUGGACUGGCCGCGAGCACACCCCCCGGAGAUCCUGCUCUACACGCCGAACCAGCUGCGACAGCUUAUCAGACUAGGUAACGCAGCGGAGGCGGCAGCGGCAGCUCAACCCACUGGCAGUUCAUGGCGGCCCGGUCCGCUGGGCGCGCCCUGGCACCUUCCCGAUGGAGAC